AUUCAGUAUAAUAGAAAUGGCACCGGUUCAAACUAAACUGGUGCCAAAUUAAUAAAAUGGCGCCGGUUUGAACCGGUGGGAAUUUACUGUUAAAAAAAACCAUCCCUCUAAUUUCUCUCUCUUUCCCCUCUUCUUUCUUUCUCUUUCCUUCUGAUCGUUCUCUCUCUCUCUCUCCUCUCUCCUAAACUGGAUCUUUCUCGUAUCUCUCAGCUCCGUCGUACUGCCGUCCAUUCCACCUCGCCGCGGCGCCAUCUCUUUCUCUCCUUUCUCCUAAACUGGAUCGUUCUUUCUUUCGCUCUCCUUUUCUCUCUUUCAUUUCACCAUACACGACGACGCUUUUUCUUCACCGGCGGCGGCGAUGGUAACGGGUCUAUCUCUUCUCGAGUCCUCUGCUUCAGAUCUUGGUUAUGGUUAUGUAUAUACUUUCCUUUUUUUGAUUGUUAAUUUGAUUUAUUUUUCAAUUUCUAGGGUUUUUGUUGUUUGUAAAUGUUAGAUUAAUUUGCUUAGUGAUGGAAAUUUGGUUGCAUGGAUGUAAAGGUUUGCAUAUUGUAUUGUGUAAAAUAUUGGAUGGAAAUUUGUAAUUUGAUCUAUGUUUAGUUGAUGAAUUUUAAUGGUUUGGCUACUUGAUUUGGAAUUACUCAGUAAUUUUUUUAAUUUUCAAUAUGACUUUGAUUAUUUUUAAUUAAUGUUAAGUGUAUGGUAGUGGGUUGAAUUUUAAAAUUCAGUAUGAUUUAUGCUUUUGGUUCAAGGAUCCUUAAUUUUGAUUUUCAGGUAAUUGUGAAAUAACGAUAUGAUGAAUUGACGAUUCAUGAUUAAUUGGAUGCUUGUUAUUGGUCGAAUGGUGCUAUUUUUGUUGAAUUUGGGAUGUCCAUGGAGCUAAUUUGGUCAAGCUGACCAAGAGACUCUUCGAUCUCAUCCUUGUAUCCCUUUUUCUCUUUACUCUCAGUCUAGUGAUUUGCCUAAUUCUCGUAUUCAACCUGAUCGUCAUUGGUUUGUGCACCCCUGCUGCUGCUACUUUUGCUCUGUUGUAGCUGCUGCUUUUUCUGUGCUGUAGCUGCUACUUUUGCUCAGCCAAGAUUGCAGGAAAGUGUGGCUUUAAGCCUAUGUUUGGGAGUAUUCUUGCUGUAGCCAUUGGCAAGAUUGGGGCUGAUGGUGUUAUCUCUAUUGAGUCACUCUCAACCUCUAAAACUUACAUAAUUGUUGAAAAGGGAAUGAACAAUUGAAAUGAUAGGGCGUUUGAUUGAAUUAGUUGGGGUAUUUUCUUUCUGAAUUUUUAAUUGUGGUGGUUUCUUUCUGAAUUUUUAAUUUAUGUCUGGAAUGAAAGUGAUUAGUGAAAUUUGGUGGAUAUCCGAAUUCUAGACAAAAUUACGCGUUGAAUUGGUGUUCUUCAUGUUCAUGUAAUGCUAAAUUGAGCUGAUUUUUUUUUUUUUUUGUGACAGUGGCUUAAGUUGCAAGAAAAUAUUUCUUUUUGUUUUUUCUUGCUCUUGUAUAGCAUUGGUUGCAAGAAAAUUGAGCUGAUUUGUAUGCUGGAUGAUUGAUUUAUUAUAUAGCAUUGGGUUGGAUACUAUAACUCUUUAAGAGCAGUUGUGAACUCGACUUUAUAACUAGGAGUGUUGAGGGUAGCUAUCUACUUAGAUUAGCGUACAGUUCUGGCAUCUAAAUCAGACUCUAUAUGCUAAAUCAGACUCUCUGAAGUAGUUGUUUCAGCAGUUGAAUGCCUCUUUUAUUAUAUUCUUAAGUUCAUUUUCCUACCCCCACCCCAUUCCCUAUAUGUAAUUCAGAAAGAAAAGGUAAGAUAGUAUUAUUUGUUAUUGCUGAUUUAAGAUUCUUUUCUGCUGUUUUUAUG
This is a long non-coding RNA of Chenopodium quinoa (quinoa), 1846 nucleotides long. RefSeq lists it as uncharacterized. The transcript is spliced from 3 exons. NCBI's taxonomy places the organism in Eukaryota, Viridiplantae, Streptophyta, Magnoliopsida, Caryophyllales, Amaranthaceae. The record is from RefSeq and is a predicted model, not a curated record.